UCAGAUAGAAAGGUGUGUUCUGCUCUCAUGAUUUGGUGCUCACUGGUGUAAAAGAGAAAUAUGUUCAAUAAACUGACGUAGUAAAUGGUUUUGUCAUGUUGUGCCUAUACUGGUGAGGCAGAUGGACAGUAAGGCACAAUGGCAGCCCCUCAACCGUCAGGUGCCCAUAGCCAGGUCCAGAUAACGCACCCCACUCCUUGCCUCCAGACAGGUCUGGGGACACAGGAACUCCCUCGGACAAGCACAUGGAACUUAUGCAGCCUGGUCUGGUGUUGGUGGGGGCGUUGGAGGCCACUGAAGCCCUGCCUUGCUGCCAUGCUUGGUCCCGACUACCUGUUCCUCAGGCCACAGAUGGCUGUUUCCCCUUGGCAUGACCCCACUGAGAGAAGAGGCAGAUAUCAGGGCACCAGCACAUCUUCUCUCUUGAAAAACAGCAAACGCUGGAGCUCCAGAUGCUGAUUUGCUUCCCCAAUGUUAGAUACCAAGGAUGAAUCACCCAUAGGUACCAGCUUCUCUGCACUGACUUGUAAAAGGUGUCUUCAGCAACAAACCAAGUUGGAGGGCUAACCUUGGGCUGCCUAGAUGGAGGUGAGUAUGUUAAAUUGAAGACAGAAAGAUCUUCGGGGCAGAUUUACUGAAUAAGUUUUCAGAAAGGACCCUCUGAGAGAAAUUUUUCACCAAAAUGUUUCAAACAUGGACAACGUGCAUUAUUCUCAUGUGCUGUUCAUGCAAAGAGUCUGUGCUCCUCUUGCUUUAUUCAUGCAAUAAAUGCAUUUCUUCAGGAGAAAUAGUAAAAGUUUUUAUUUUCUAACAGAGCUUUAUUUUGAACUCACAAUUUCUUUGAGAAAUGUGGUCAAUUUGAAAAAG
Molecule: long non-coding RNA, 867 nt
Organism: Cygnus olor (mute swan)
Lineage: Eukaryota; Metazoa; Chordata; Aves; Anseriformes; Anatidae
Exons: 3
Source: RefSeq, a predicted model, not a curated record